AGGCAUUAUUAUCCACUAUAGAAUGCCUAUGUCACAGACUCUCAGUAUGUCACAGUAUCAGAAGGUUCCAAGUCUGCCACUCCCUCAGUCUUUCUGUGGACCUAUAGUAUGCAACACAAACAACUUGAUCAUAUACUUUUCUUGUCGAUGUGACUACCUAAUGACUUGCAGCAGGUAAUUGAGAAAGACCUGACUAUCUCACCACAGGCUGGGAAAUCACUGUUCUUACCAGGAGGACACAUUUGUGUGGAAAUCAUACAGAGAUCCAUCCUCCACCCAACCCAUCCUCUUCUCAUAGAACAGAGCACAAGCAUAAUGGAAAAGUUCCUGACAGACAGCAUCAGAAGAACCACAUUAGAGGCUACCGCGGACAGCAAAGAAAAGGGACGUCGUCCUGAGAGUUCUUUAAAAGACAAUUAAACCACUAUACUGGGGACUAAUGUCAACAACAAGGUCCAGACUUCAUGACCUGAUCCUUCCCACCAAGGUUGUGAAAACGGAACUGUGAAAAAGAGAGUGCAUAUAGAAAAGAUGUGUAGUGGUCAGGAAAGUGUGCCUUGGGCGAUCAAAUUAUAUGUAACAUCAUUAGAUGUGACGAAUCCUUGGAUGCUGUCUGCAAUUGCUGCAUUUCUGGCUUCUCCCCGGGCCUCNCCNGGAAGGACUCAGACACAUUUGGGCUAAGGACAGUGUGCUGUUUCUUUUGUCAACUCAUUAGCNGCUUCUGUGUGCCCAUAUAAAACAUUCAU
Non-coding RNA from Mus caroli (Ryukyu mouse), 746 nucleotides. Lineage: Eukaryota; Metazoa; Chordata; Mammalia; Rodentia; Muridae. The record is from RefSeq and is a predicted model, not a curated record.